UGCGCUUCUGCUCAGCUCGGUGU
This 23-nucleotide microRNA is filed under the name Gallus gallus (chicken). RNAcentral describes it as "gga-miR-1633". The record is from miRBase by way of RNAcentral. Lineage: Eukaryota; Metazoa; Chordata; Aves; Galliformes; Phasianidae.